Peromyscus leucopus (white-footed mouse) is the source of this 419-nucleotide long non-coding RNA. RefSeq lists it as uncharacterized. The transcript is spliced from 3 exons. The record is from RefSeq and is a predicted model, not a curated record. NCBI's taxonomy places the organism in Eukaryota, Metazoa, Chordata, Mammalia, Rodentia, Cricetidae.
UCAAGGUUACUAAUUUCAGAAUUGUCCACACUUGCAAAGGCCUGGAAGAAACCCAAAUUGCUAUCAGUAGGAUAUAAGGGUACAUUUACAGCUAUGAAUACUAGAACUAUGCGAAGCUGGGCCAUGUACCAAUGAACCGGGGCUCUCUCUGUAUCAGCAGUUGGGGACUGAAAGAUAGCUUGCCCGUAAAAGCAAUUGCUAGCAAGCUUGAUGACCUGCCCCAUUCGGUCUGAGGAUUCACAGAGGCUCAUGUUUUGGAACACUUGGUCCAGCUGAUGGUGCAAUUUGAGGACGUCAUGAAACCUUCAAGAGGUGGAGCAUGGAUAAGGAAGCAGACUGCUAGACUACGAAAUAAGGCAUCCGGGGAAAUGGAAUUUCUCCCCGGAUUUCUGUGCUUUGAGAAGAGAAAGCCUGAAUGA